RNAcentral lists this ribosomal RNA (465 nucleotides) under Vreelandella stevensii. RNAcentral describes it as "partial 16S ribosomal RNA". It matches the Rfam family "Bacterial small subunit ribosomal RNA", at positions 338 to 795 of the family's 1533-position model. Lineage: Bacteria; Pseudomonadati; Pseudomonadota; Gammaproteobacteria; Oceanospirillales; Halomonadaceae. The record is from RNAcentral.
CCUACGGGCGGCUGCAGUGGGGAAUAUUGGACAAUGGGCGAAAGCCUGAUCCAGCCAUGCCGCGUGUGUGAAGAAGGCCUUCGGGUUGUAAAGCACUUUCAGUGGGGAAGAAAGCCUUGGGGCUAAUACCCUCGAGGAAGGACAUCACCCACAGAAGAAGCACCGGCUAACUCCGUGCCAGCAGCCGCGGUAAUACGGAGGGUGCGAGCGUUAAUCGGAAUUACUGGGCGUAAAGCGCGCGUAGGCGGUCUGAUAAGCCGGUUGUGAAAGCCCCGGGCUCAACCUGGGAACGGCAUCCGGAACUGUCAGGCUAGAGUGCAGGAGAGGAAGGUAGAAUUCCCGGUGUAGCGGUGAAAUGCGGAGAGAUCGGGAGGAAUACCAGUGGCGAAGGCGGCCUUCUGGACUGACACUGACGCUGAGGUGCGAAAGCGUGGGUAGCAAACAGGAUUAGAUACCCGAGUAGUC